CCUACGGGGGGCAGCAGUGGGGAAUAUUGCACAAUGGGGGAAACCCUGAUGCAGCGACGCCGCGUGAGUGAAGAAGUAUUUCGGUACGUAAAGCUCUAUCAGCAGGGAAGAAAAUGACGGUACCUGACUAAGAAGCCCCGGCUAACUACGUGCCAGCAGCCGCGGUAAUACGUAGGGGGCAAGCGUUAUCCGGAUUUACUGGGUGUAAAGGGAGCGUAGACGGCAGCGCAAGUCUGGAGUGAAAUCCCAUGGCUUAACCAUGGAACUGCUUUGGAAACUGUGCAGCUAGAGUGCAGGAGAGGUAAGCGGAAUUCCUAGUGUAGCGGUGAAAUGCGUAGAUAUUAGGCGGAACACCAGUGGCGAAGGCGGCUUACUGGACUGUACCUGACGUUGAGGCUCGAAAGCGUGGGGAGCAAACAGGAUUAGAUACCCGGGUAGUC
This 440-nucleotide ribosomal RNA is filed under the name uncultured bacterium. Its description in RNAcentral is "partial 16S ribosomal RNA". It matches the Rfam family "Bacterial small subunit ribosomal RNA", at positions 338 to 795 of the family's 1533-position model. The record is from RNAcentral.